RNA transcript from Vespa crabro (European hornet), 5501 nucleotides. It is a transcript of the gene named NAD(+) hydrolase sarm1, with no coding region annotated. Lineage: Eukaryota; Metazoa; Arthropoda; Insecta; Hymenoptera; Vespidae. The transcript has 11 exons. The record is from RefSeq and is a predicted model, not a curated record.
AGAAAAAAAAACGGUGAGGGUGUCAGGGGAGGAGGUAGUACUUACCAGGAGAACGCUGCAUUUCGAAAGGUGGAAUCGAUUUCAUUUCACCAACGAUUUCUUCCCGGCUAAUUUUUCCUGUGGAUCUGAGAGGAAGGAACUCUGUGAAGAGGAUAGAACGAAAGGAAGAGAGAAAGAGAGAGGGGGGAGAGAGAGAGAGAGAGAAGAAUUCAUUCUUGAAUUGCCAUGACCAUGGUCGUCAACAAGAUCAACAUGUCGUCGUAUUCUGCGCCACGACGUACCUUCUUUUCGGGUUUUCGUACGAAGAUGUCGGAGUUCCCAGUGGAGGGGGGAGAAAACGGGGACAUGCAAGCGGUCAUGGAAAACUUUCAAAAAAAGAACAAUCUGGUCACUGGCCGGACCCAUGUUUCCCAUCAUCCACAAGUUACCACUUCAUCGCAGAUGCUGACGACGAAUCAGAGCCAGAGCAGCAGUAGCAGCAGUAGUUCGAGCAGGGUGGCCAAAUCCUCUCAGAGGAUCCUUACGUCGUCCUCGUCGAGUGAAAUGAAAGCGAGCUCUAUGAAGAGCGAUCUGACCGAAUUAAAGCGUGGCAUUUCGGAGAUGAAAAAUAUUUCAACGAAUUUUUCACGAUUACGUAGCAGCAUGGAGAAUCUCGUUGACAGAGACGGAACCGGCGCCGAAGAAAAUGAUUUGACCGAGCCAUUGGUAACAUUCCCGGAUCCUGAUACACCACCACCCUCAACGGGAACUGUCACAUUGACGGGAGGUUCGCCGUCUCAAUUGAGUUCUCUCAAUUCAUUGAACAAUCUUCACAGUAUGAGCCCGCAGAUGAAUAUGCCGAGUAUAACGAAUAGGACGAGUUUACCUGCCGGUCAGGAAACUAUGAAAUUCGAACAGAAGAAAAUGACGAGUGCAUCCAAGACGAAGGUCGUUACCGAUGGAUUUAGUGCUGAAAAGGCAAUAGCCAAUAGCGCUGAAAUGAGAGCAUUACAAGCUGGCGAUGUAUCUUACAAAGAACAAAGCGCCGCGACCGCGGCAAGGGCACGGGUCGAAUUGGACGGUGUAUCUGCGGAAAAGAGGGUAGCUGCGGCCAGAGAACAGCGAAGCUUGAAGGCUGGAGAUUUAUCGCAUCAAGAGAGCAACAACAUGGCAGCCUCGACUAUGAAGUUACAAAGUGAUUCAUUCAGUUCAGAAAAGAAGGCGAUGGCGGCACAACAACAACGUCAGACAGUAACUUCCUCAGGAAUUUACAAUCACGAAAAACACAUGGCAUCGAGUUCGCAAUCGAGUAUAACAAUAGCUUCGAAAGGAGUUACGUCAAAAUCAUCGAUGAUAUGUGCGGCCAAUGCGGUAAAUCAAUUGAUGAAUGGUAUGAGGCCAGCUGAGGAUGAACUUCUUUCAUUGCCAUUGGAUGAUCUGGAUUUAUUAUGUUCUAAGUCAAAUCCGCAGGAUGUUGAUCGUGCGAUUGCUAAAUACUCCGGUUUCUUAGAUAGUUUCGUCGAACGUUUAAAGACCAACGAAGGAAAGAACGGGAAAGCUCCAUUGUUAUUGAACAGGGUAAAUGAGAUCAUCAGAAAAGCCUGGGCUGUACCUACUCAUGGUCAUGAACUUGGUUAUACACUGUGUAAUACCCUUAGAACGAGAGGUGGUCUAGAUUUGUUGAUGUCAAAUUGCAUUGCGAGCGAUCACGAGUUACAGUUCUCCUCGGCCAGAUUAUUGGAACAAUGUUUGACAACUGAAAAUCGUGCCCACGUGGUUGAACAUGGCCUUGAGAAGGUUGUAAACGUAGCUUGUGUGUGCACGAAGAAUGCCAAUUCCGUGGAUCAUUCUAGAGUGGGCACCGGUAUAUUGGAACAUCUAUUCAAGCAUAGUGAGGGUACCUGUAGCGACGUUAUCAGGCUUGGCGGUUUGGACGCGGUUUUAUUCGAGUGUAGAAAGAACGACGUAGAAACAUUGAGACACUGUGCCGGGGCAUUAGCCAAUUUGUCACUUUACGGUGGUGCUGAAAAUCAAGAAGCUAUGAUCAAGAGAAAGGUACCAAUGUGGCUCUUUCCACUUGCCUUUCAUAACGACGAUAAUAUAAAGUAUUACGCUUGUCUGGCCAUCGCAGUUUUAGUUGCCAACAAAGAAAUUGAGGCGGCCGUUUUAAAAUCCGGUACCCUUGACUUAGUCGAACCAUUCGUAACAUCUCACAAUCCUUACGAAUUUGCAAAAUCGAAUUUGGCGCAUGCUCAUGGACAAAGUAAAAAUUGGUUGGAAAGAUUGGUACCCGUGUUAAGUUCGAAAAGAGAGGAAGCCAGAAAUCUCGCAGCUUUUCACUUUUGCAUGGAAGCUGGUAUUAAGAAACAACAAGGCAAUACCGAGAUAUUCCGUGCUAUAGGAGCGAUCGAACCAUUGAAGAAAGUCGCCAGUUGUCCAAAUGCAAUUGCCUCCAAAUACGCUGCACAAGCAUUACGUUUGAUUGGCGAGGAAAUACCACAUAAACUUAGCCAACAGGUACCACUUUGGUCUACGGAGGAUGUUAGAGAAUGGGUUAAACAAAUAGGUUUUGCCGAGUGUGCUGCAAAUUUUGUUGAGAGUAGAGUGGACGGUGAUCUUUUGCUUCAAUUGACAGAGGAGAAUCUCAAGGAGGACAUUGGCUUGACGAAUGGAAUUAGAAGGAGACGUUUUACGCGGGAAUUACAAAAUUUGAAAAAAAUGGCGGAUUACAGUAGCAGGGAUACCGGAAAUUUAAAUAGUUUCUUACAGUCGAUCGGUCAAGAAUUUUCUAUAUAUACUUAUAGUAUGCUCAACGCUGGCGUUGACAAAGAUUCUAUAAGAAAUUUAUCCGAGGAUCAAUUAUUGACCGAGUGUGGUAUAGCCAAUAGUAUACAUCGACUUAGGAUAUUGGAUGCCAUAAAGAACAUGCAACACAAUCAAUUCAGUUCUUGCGAAGACGAAUCGCCGGAUAAAUCUUUAGAUGUAUUCGUUAGUUAUAGAAGAUCCAAUGGAUCUCAAUUAGCUAGCUUACUCAAGGUUCAUUUGCAAUUACGUGGAUUUUCGGUCUUUAUCGACGUCGAAAGGUUAGAGGCCGGUAAAUUCGAUAAUAAUUUGUUGCAAAGUAUAAGACAGGCCAAACACUUCCUCCUUGUGCUAACGCCCAAGGCAUUAGAAAGGUGUAUACAGGACAACGAGUGUAAAGACUGGGUCCAUAGGGAAAUUGUAGCUGCGUUACAAUCGCAGUGUAACAUUAUUCCCAUAAUAGAUAAUUUUCAAUGGCCUGAACCUGAAGAUCUUCCUGAAGAUAUGCGAACGGUUUGUCACUUUAAUGGCGUACGUUGGAUUCACGAUUAUCAAGAUGCUUGCGUAGACAAAUUAGAAAGGUUUAUGCGAGGAGAAAUUCCUGUAAGAUCUGAAUUGUCCGGUGGUAUACCAAGAAGUAUAGCAUCCAAGGACGUAACAGCACCUAGUACGCCAGGUAGCACGAAUAUGCGACAAGCACCGAAUUAUCAACGAAUGCAUAGCAAUGAAAGUAGAGGUAGCGACAAGGAUUCAAAUGGUGGGCGAGACUGACUAGACGGCCCGCCCACAGCUAUUCCAAACAGCAGGGAAUAUGAAUCGCGAUAAGACAAUCACGAUUUUAGAUUUAGAAAAUCGUCGAGUCCGUCCCGUUGGUUAAUGGGUUUGCCGCCAACGUCACCUCGAUUAAAAUUCGUCCAUACACAUCCUGGAGGAAGUCCAAUACCUCGCAGACCACCACGACAUCCACCCUCUCCGUCUACACGAUCUAAAUCCUUAGAACUUUUAGAUCAGGAUGAGAAGAAAUCAUCUGUCUUGCCAGUCGCCAAACCUGAACCUAUACCAAGGCCAAGAUCCAAAAGUUUGGAUGGUCUUUUAGACGAGGAUGACGUAGUUUCACACAUUAAGACUGAAGAAUUGGCUAAGGAUAAAGAAGAGAGGAUUGAUGAUCGAGAUAAGAAAAAUCCUCUUAGUUUUAAUGAAACAAAUCAAACGGAAGAAAAAAAUUGCGAAUCUAUUACGGACAACUUGAAUGUAUCUUGGAAAAAAGAAAAAUAUGAGGAACGAUCAAAUGUUGUUAACGAAGAAACAAAGGAUGAUAAAAAUCCAUUACCUGUUCCGCGUUUAAAAACAAAAAUAUCUAAUUCACAAUUGGAUAUAUGUAAAGGGGUGUACGUCAAGGAUGAAAAGAAUGAGAAACCUUCAUCGUCGUCCUCUGAUAAAAGCAACGUUAAUGAAGAAAAUGAUUCAACGUUGUUAUCUAAACAAACAAAUAGAUUUACGAGUAUGGAUAAACGAGAGAACGAAUCAUCGUGUUCAAUUGAUCAGCGUGAGGUGACGAAUUCUCAUAAAGGGCAGCAACAAACCAUUGAGCUUUGUGAUAAUAGUGUAGAACCAAUACAGGAAAGACUAAUGACGAUAAUAAACGAUAAAUCAAUGUUGCUCAAAGCAAAGAGUUGUGGCGCGGGAUUAGAUUCCAACGAAAGUGUUUCGUCCAAUGAUUACAAAGCUGAGAUAAAGGAACAAGGCUCGUUGCUAUCAUUGCCGGCAGGAGCCGAGCCAAAGAGAAAAAGAAAUUUCAUGGACAAGUGCGUAAACAAGGUGCGGUCUUUCAUAAAGAGAUAAAUAAUAAUAAUAAUUAUUAUUAUUAUAAUAAUAAUAAUAAUAAUAAUAGUAAUAAUAAUAAUAAUAAUAAUAAUAAUAAUAAUCGUGACUUUGAAGAAAAAAUUGUGCACAAGUGAUAUAAAGACUUAUUCUAAAUAAUUUUAUGAUAUCUGUUUCUUUUUUUUUUUUCUCAAUUUUUUUUCUCUCUUCCUUCUUUUUUUCUUUUUUUUUUUUUUUUUUUUUUUUUUUUUUUUUUUUUUUUUUUUUUUUGUUGACACCACGCCGACUUUAUAUAUCUUUAUUCAUAAUUCCAUCAGAACGAUUCGUUUUUGUCGAACAAGAUUUAUAUAUAAAGAGAGAGAGAGAGAUUAUAUUUAAAAAAUAAAUACAAAGGAAAGAAAACAAAAAGAAGAAGAAGAAGAAAUAAGAAAACAAAAAAAAAAAAAGAAAAAGCGAAAAAAGGAACGUAAUAGAUAUAUGCAAAAAAAAAUUUCCUGUAAAUACACAUCGCUGGUGGAAAUAUGAAUAUAUUGAAGGGAUAAUAAAACUUUUGUGUAUAAUGACAGACAGCAUGAAAAUAUAAUGUUGUGCCUAAAGAUUAAUGUGUCUUCGUAGAAGUCGGAGCGACCGGAUAAAUGAUUUUUAUCUUUCUUAUUUUCAAGAAAUAGAAAAUGUCGGUCCGCUUUAUUUCAGGUGCCUUUUAUAUUUCAUUAAUGAAUUGUAUUAUAAAACACUUAAAAAUGUAAUUAGAUAAUAUUUUAAUUUGUAAUACUAUUUUCUAUAGACAGUUAUAUCUUUUUUGAUUAUCAACCGUACUCCUAUAGAGAGCAAUAUUAUAAAUAUAAAGGUUGUUUUAAAUGCAGCUAACUCUAAAAAUAAAGGUGACAAAUUUAACGGUA